GAUGAAGAACGUAGUGAAAUGCGAUACGUAAUGUGAAUUGCAGAAUUCAGUGAAUCAUCGAAUCUUUGAACGCACAUUGCGCCCGCCAGUAUUCUGGCGGGCAUGCCUGUCCGAGCGUCAUUUCAACCCUCGAACCCCUCCGGGGGUCCGGCGUUGGGGAUCGGGAACCCCUAAGACGGGAUCCCGGCCCCGAAAUACAGUGGCGGUCUCGCCGCAGCCUCUCAUGCGCAGUAGUUUGCACAACUCGCACCGGGAGCGCGGCGCGUCCACGUCCGUAAAACACCCAACUUCUGAAAUGUUGACCUCGGAUCAGGUAGGAAUACCCGCUGAACUUAAGCAUAUCAAUAAGCGGAGGA
This 356-nucleotide unclassified non-coding RNA is filed under the name soil metagenome. RNAcentral describes it as "partial contains 5.8S ribosomal RNA, internal transcribed spacer 2, and large subunit ribosomal RNA". The stretch from base 1 to 120 matches the Rfam family "5.8S ribosomal RNA", at positions 35 to 154 of the family's 154-position model. The record is from RNAcentral.